UGCCGGGCCGCGGGGCUGGCGCGGCUGGCCGCGGUGCUCCUGGUGACUGUGAGCAGAGCCCAGGUGCAGCAGGAGCCGUCGGCAGAGACCAGCGAGGGCACCGAAAUCAACAUCACCUGCUCACAUCCCAGCAUGCAGGCCGAUAACAUCCACUGGUACCGUCAGCUCCCGGGCCGAGGACCCGCAUUCCUCGUCAGCGCCGUUAAAGGCUCCAAGCAGGUGCCGGACCCGGAGGGGAGGCUGUGGGUGUCGGCAGACCGCCGCUCCAGCGCCCUGUUGCUCGCCCGGCCCCGGCUCGGCGACGCGGCGGUGUAUUACUGCGCCGUGAACCCACGGGAAGCGAAGCCGGGGCUGCGGCCGGGCACGAACCGCUUAGGGCGGGUCGGGAGCGCAGUGCCGUCCGGGCCUGCAGGGGGCGCUGCCGCUCCUCCCUCCCGGCCCCGCCCGAGCUGACAUUGCUGACAUGGAGCACUGCUCGGCAUCCUCCGGGAGAAAGGCGUUCCAGCUGCACACCCUCAUGAGCUCGGCAUGUCGAGGUCCCAGACACAUUUAAGUGGUCCUACAUUAGCUCUGUUUUCAGACUAUGAGACUGUGUGACAGGAUUCAGUGCCUCUGGAGGUGGGGUGUAGAUUCAGCAAUGGCCUCUAUAAGCUGUGUUGGCUGUGAGGGCUACUGGCUCAUGAGGGCUAUGAAUCAAGUCCGUUCUCAUUUGAAAUGGAAUUAUAAAUAAAAGGGAGAGUGAUAAACAAAGCAAGGAAUGCCCCAGUCUGUAAGCAAAAAGGAAGACAAGGAGGGAGAUGAGAACUCUUCAGCUCCUAAAUGAUGGGCCAUUAGAGAAAUGCAGCUGUCAGAUUUGAAGUGAGUGAUCCUGAGCUUUGUAAGUGACAAGUGACAAGAAGGAAAGAAAGAUGAGGAAUGCUCACGAGGGGCCUAUGGUAUCUGUGCCAAAUUUUAAGGGAAUACUUAUGGAAAGGGUCAAAGGUGUGGGAGAAGUGGCAGUGAGAGAAGAAAGAGGAUGCACUGCAGAGGAGGGAGGAUGAAAAGUCCCAUGCUGUACACUUGCUGGGAAGAGCCCUGUGCCUGACCAACACAUCAAAUUCUGUCUUAUUAUUAAGUCCUGACUUGUUUGUGUAACAGUGAAACUGUGCUGUCUUUCUCAUGUGGGAGCACCCCAAGGUGUAGGCCAGUAGAAGAAGAGACUGGUGUGCAAGAGAGAUCUGGGUGCCAGCAACCAAAACAACAUGCACAGCACAUCAGGAUUAAACCAGUGACUGGGAGGAAAGAGUAUUCAAGUGUGGGAGAGAGGUGGGUAAGGAAACAUAAAGCCUGAUAGUGAAGGUUAGGCAGGCUGAGAUCCCAUGGUAUUAUCUGAGGGAUCAGCAGGAGUGUGGGGAUGUGUGUGAGAGGAGUGGGUGACUGCAUGCACCUGUUGGCCAGCAAACAGCAGGCCUGGGACCAGGCCAGAGCUACUAUUUAUGAUUACAUUGGGCUUUGGUGGGCUUGGUUCUGAUGCUCUUUGUCUUGUGAUUCCACCUGAACCAGCACUGCCUGAUACAACAGCUGGCCUGAGGAGAGGAAGGGCCAUCCUGAUAUCAUGUAGAAAUGAUUCUCUCAUGCUGUGCUGCUGGCAUCACACAGAAUCUGUGUGAAAGAAAAGCACUCACAAAAUAGAUCCCCAGGUUGUGCUGAAUUGUGAAGUUACAGGUGUGAGUGUGUAGGGAGAAGAGAUACUGCAUGGAAUACAAGAGCUAUUUGAGCUCCAGGGCUCAGGGAGUAUGAAAGAAUCUUGGUACCUGGGGAAAGACACUCCAGCGUGAGUCCUGUGUUUGGGCUGGUGCAUCACCUGCAUGAAGUAUAAAGAUCUGGGGAAGUAUAAAGAUCUUGUUAAGUGCAGAAACAUCUCACUCUCACUGUCAUGCCCCAGUGGAGUUGGAAAUAUCUAUGCUGACACAUUGUCUUCAGUGGAGAAGUGUAGGGUUGGGGAACUUUGAGAGUCUUCCAGAUCCUGAGCCUGAGGAGAACAGUUCCGUGCUUGGGGAAGACAUGACAACGAGAAGCCGUGAGUGUUUGGGCAUGAGUCACUAUCCUGGGCCUUGCUGCAGCCAUGAGAGUGUUGAGUUCAGAGGGGCUGGGGGCUCCAAUAUGUGGCCUCUUGUAGCUGAUAGCAAUGCUGACCUGUGGAAGCCCUCAACCAUAGGCAAGUUGGCAAAUUAACAACAGGGCCAAGAGCUCUGCAGAAGGCUGCUAGGACCACACAGAAAAGCUGUACCCUCGGUGAUGGGUGAAUGGAAGGGAUGGGAAAGUCGAAUAGAGACAGAGGGCCAACCCCAAGGAAACUAUGCCUUCCCAGUUCUUGAUAGCCUUUGAGAACAACUUUCUCUGAGUCUCCUUCCCCAGCUCUGCUCUUUGCAAAGCCAGAGGAAUAGAUUUCCCCAGAGUGUGUGGGAAUUCUGUCUUCACUGGGCCUCUCCAUUGCAGAGAGAUCCUCUCCUGUGGAUGUUGUUUUUGGAGAUCUCCAUUCACUUGACAUGCUCGGUGUUCAAGGAGACCUGUGUAAGGAGAAACACAGCAAGGCAGGGACUGAUGGUCCUUGGUGGUGGAGGAACAUUUAGCAAUGUCUUCCUCUCCUUCAAGAGAGUGUGCUUGAAAAAAUGACGAUCUGCACUGUACACUUACCUCCAAAAUCCAGAGGACUGAUGGAAUCUCCCUAGCUCGUUCCCAUCAAAGACAUCCCUUUCCUACUUGGCAUUCUCUACGUUUAUGAGAAAAAGAAAGAAAAAACAAACAAACAACAACAACAACAACAAACCACUAACAGAGAAGGAAAUGCUAAGGGAUGCAGAAGUGUUUAAUGAGUUUGACAAGAGAAAUGAUGCCACGUCAAGCAGAGGCCCUGUGUGUGGUGAGCAACAGGAGCAGACAAG
Meleagris gallopavo (turkey) is the source of this 2924-nucleotide non-coding RNA. Lineage: Eukaryota; Metazoa; Chordata; Aves; Galliformes; Phasianidae. The record is from the annotation of a RefSeq genome assembly.